This 198-nucleotide ribosomal RNA is filed under the name Triticum aestivum (bread wheat). RNAcentral's name for it is "partial small subunit ribosomal RNA". Lineage: Eukaryota; Viridiplantae; Streptophyta; Magnoliopsida; Poales; Poaceae. The record is from RNAcentral.
AUGCCUACUGAUGGUCAAGUUAGCACUGACGAAAAUGGUAAGAUUUCGAUCAAAAGGUAUAUCGCUCCAUCAUUGGUUUGUUUCUUUGCCUAUGUGCAUCUCUAUUUCCUUGAAAAGGGUGCUCAACCAACAAGAACUGUUUAUGAUAUUUUAAGGAAGGCGGAAUUCUUUAAAGAAAAAGACAGAACUUUGAGUUAA